AAACCAGCACCUCAAGUUGUCAGGAUGAUUAUUGGGCCUAAAGCAUCCGUAGCCUGCUCUGUAAGUUUUCGGUUAAAUCUGUACGCUUAACGUACAGGCUGCCGGAAAUACUGCAGAGCUAGGGAGUGGGAGAGGUAGACGGUACUCGGGAGGAAGUGGUAAAAUGCUUUGAUCUCUCGAUGACCACCUGUGGCGAAGGCGGUCUACCAGAACACGUCCGACGGUGAGGGAUGAAAGCUGGGGGAGCAAACCGGAUUAGAAACCCGAGUAGUCC
This 274-nucleotide ribosomal RNA is filed under the name uncultured bacterium. Its description in RNAcentral is "partial 16S ribosomal RNA". It matches the Rfam family "Archaeal small subunit ribosomal RNA", at positions 473 to 747 of the family's 1478-position model. The record is from RNAcentral.